AAAGAUUUUUCGGUAUCGGAGGUGCCUGCGGCCUAUCAGUUAGUUGGUGAGGUAAUGGCUCACCAAGACAAUGACGGGUAGCUGGUGUGAGAGCACGACCAGCCAGAAUGGGACUGAGACACGGCCCAUACUCCUACGGGAGGCAGCAGUAAAGAAUCUUCCACAAUGGACGAAAGUCUGAUGGAGCGACACCGCGUGAGGGAUGAAGUCCUAACGGACGUAAACCUCUUUUGUGUGGGAGCAAAUUUUUGAGUCAACCACACGAAUAAGGACCGGCUAAUCACGUGCCAGCAGCCGCGGUAAUACGUGAGGUCCAAGCGUUAUCCGGAAUCACUGGGCGUAAAGCGUCCGCAGCCGGAAAUGUAAGUCUGGAGUGAAAUUUCAGAGCCCAACUCUGAAAGCGUUCCGGAAACUGUAUUUCUAGAGUUCGACAGAGGCAAGGGGAAUUCCGAUUGUAGGGGUAAAAUCCGUAGAUAAUCGGAGGAACACCAAAUGCGAAGGCACCUUGCUGGGUCGACACUGACGGUCAGGGACGAAAGCGUGGGGAGCGAAGGGGAUUAGAUACCCCCGUAGUCCACGCCCUAAACGAUGAUUACUCGGUUUACGAGAGAUUCGAUCCUCUUGUGAGCCCAAGCUAACGCGUUAAGUAAUCCGCCUGGGUAGUACGAUCGCAAGAUUAAAACUCAAAGGAAUAGACGGGGACCCGCACAAGCGGUGGAGCAUCGGGUUUAAUUCGAUAAUAAGCGAGGAACCUUACCAGGACUUGACAUCCCGAGAAUCCUGUAGAAAUACGGGAGUGCUGCAAAGAACUCGGUGACAGGUGCUGCAUGGUCGUCGUCAGCUCGUGCCUUGAGGUGUUCGGUUAAGUCCGUAAACGAGCGCAACCCACGUCGUGUGUUACUUUUUCACACGAGACUGCCGGCUCCAAGCCGGAGGAAGGUGUGGAUGACGUCAGAUCAGCAUGGCCCUUAUGUUCUGGGCGACACCGGUGCUACAAUGGUCGGUACAAAGGGUAGCCAACCCGCGAGGGGGAGCCAAUCCUGAUAAAGCCGGCCUCAGUUCGGAUUGGAGGCUGAAACUCGCCUCCAUGAAGUUGGAAUCGCUAGUAACCGUAUAUCAGCCAUGAUACGGUGAAUGUGUUCCCGGGUCUUGUACUCACCGCCCGUCAAGCCACGAAAGAGGGGGGCACCCGAAGGCUUCCGUUUUACGGAGGACCACGGUGAAACUCUUGAUUGGGGCUAAGUCGUAACAAGGUAACC
This 1259-nucleotide ribosomal RNA is filed under the name uncultured bacterium. RNAcentral's name for it is "bacterial SSU rRNA". It matches the Rfam family "Bacterial small subunit ribosomal RNA", at positions 202 to 1501 of the family's 1533-position model. The record is from RNAcentral.